RNAcentral lists this ribosomal RNA (1356 nucleotides) under Euparkerella cochranae (Cochran's Guanabara frog). Its description in RNAcentral is "partial large subunit ribosomal RNA". Lineage: Eukaryota; Metazoa; Chordata; Amphibia; Anura; Craugastoridae. The record is from RNAcentral.
GCUAAAACCUUAGCCCUAAAACACCUAAACACUUUAUCUAUUAACCCAAAAUAUUCUGACAAGCAAGUAAAGACGAUCGAAAACUUCUUGGAGCAAUUUACCUACCGCAAGGAAACAGUGAAAUAACAAUGAAAACCCUUAAGCACAAAACAGAAGAGACCCACCCUCGUACCUUUCGCAUCAUGGUUUAACUAGUCUACUUAAGCAAAAAGAAUUUAAGUUUACCCCCCCGAAACCAGGUGAGCUACCUGGGGGCAGMUUACCGAGCACACCCUUCUCUGUUGCAAAAGAGUGGGAAGACCCCUUAGUAGAGGUGACAAGCCAAACGAGCCUAGUGAUAGCUGGUUACUUAAGAAAAGAAUUUUAGUUCAACCUAAAGCUUCUUCAGCCCCCCAAAGCAAUCCUUAAACUUUAGAGCAACUCAAAUAAGGUACAGCUUAUUUGAACAAGGACACAACCUAAUCUAACGGGUAACUAACCACACGCAGCCCAGUUGGCCUAAAAGCAGCCACCAUCUAAAAGCGUCAAAGCCUAACAUACCAUCCACACCAAUUCCUCCACUAUCCCAAACCCUUAACCAAUAUUAAGUACUUCUAUGUCCCCAUAGAAAUUUUUAUGUUAAAACUAGUAACAUGAAACACCUUCUCCCAAUGCAAACAUAAAUCAGACAGAAACCCGCACUGAUAAUUAACAACCCCAAGCAGCAACCUAACAAGAAAACCCUGCCUCAACCCUCGUUAACCUAACACAAGAGCAUUUCAAGAAGAUUAAAAGAAAGAGAAGGAACUCGGCAAAUAAUGAUCUCGCCUGUUUACCAAAAACAUCGCCUCUUGCACCCAUAAGAGGUCCAGCCUGCCCAGUGACUCUGUUCAACGGCCGCGGUACCCUGACCGCGCGAAGGUAGCGUAAUCACUUGUUUUUUAAAUGAAGACUAGUAUGAAAGGCACCACGAAAAUCAAACUGUCUCCUCUUUCCAAUCAGUGAAACUAAUCUCCCCGUGAAGAAGCGGGGAUUUACCCAUAAGACGAGAAGACCCUAUGGAGCUUCAAACUAAUAGACACUUGCCCAUUCUUUAACCUCACACGAGACUCACCCAAGCAUCUUUGCCUAAAAGUUUUAGGUUGGGGCGACCACGGAGAAUAAAUCAUCCUCCAUGCUGACACGAACUAUUUCUAAAUGAAAAGCCACAACUUUUCAUAUCAAUAUAUUGACACUUAUUGACCCAGUACUCUGAUCAACGAACCAAGUUACCCUAGGGAUAACAGCGCAAUCUACUUUGAGAGCCCAUAUCGACAAGUAGGCUUACGACCUCGAUGUUGGAUCAGGAAAUCCUAGUGGUGCAGCAGCUACUAAAGG